AUUGAACGCUGGCGGCAGGCCUAACACAUGCAAGUCGAGCGGAUGAAGGGAGCUUGCUCCUGGAUUCAGCGGCGGACGGGUGAGUAAUGCCUAGGAAUCUGCCUGGUAGUGGGGGAUAACGUCCGGAAACGGGCGCUAAUACCGCAUACGUCCUGCGGGAGAAAGUGGGGGAUCUUCGGACCUCACGCUAUCAGAUGAGCCUAGGUCGGAUUAGCUAGUUGGUGGGGUAAAGGCCUCCCAAGGCGACGAUCCGUAACUGGUCUGAGAGGAUGAUCAGUCACACUGGAACUGAGACACGGUCCCGACUCCUACGGGAGGCAGCAGUGGGGAAUAUUGGACAAUGGGCGAAAGCCUGAUCCAGCCAUGCCGCGUGUGUGAAGAAGGUCUUCGGAUUGUAAAGCACUUUAAGUUGGGAGGAAGGGCAGUAAGUUAAUACCUUGCUGUUUUGACGUUACCAACAGAAUAAGCACCGGCUAACUUCGUG
RNAcentral lists this ribosomal RNA (484 nucleotides) under uncultured bacterium. RNAcentral's name for it is "partial 16S ribosomal RNA". It matches the Rfam family "Bacterial small subunit ribosomal RNA", at positions 30 to 507 of the family's 1533-position model. The record is from RNAcentral.